CACCGUUACAAUGUGUUGCUCAGAGACGCAAUGACUUUAGCUGUUGUUUCCUGUGGAAUGGCAGAGCAAAAAUAACUUUUUUAUCGCCCUGAAAAGAGUGUCAAGAUUUGCACAACCCCUCGGAAGCCUGGCAUGAGAUUAAGCUCUUGACAACCUUGAGAUAGCUCUCCCUUCACCAGCAUUCCCAGGAGAGAGCCAUUGUCAGAGCCAUGGUACCAUUGUUGCUUUUGAGUCUUGAAUAGGCAGCCUGGGCCGUCUGAAAAAGACAAGUGCACAUCAGGUUAACACACGCCACGUGUCUCUGAGGUCUGGGUGAGGUGGACACUUCAGAAGCUCAUAGUACUGCAGUUUCGGGUCGAAGUGUUCGUCACUUCUCACCAGCACAUGCGCUACGCCUAUGUCCUACAUCAUCCACCCGGAAGGGCACUCUUUUGUGAACGCGCGUACGAUAGCAGAGGUUAGAGAAAACUUUCUAACGUUUUAAAUAUAUAUUUAAUAUUUUUCUUACAAAAAUGUAUCGAUUCACUACAGGAGGCCUUUACUGUAAGGCACUGAUUACUAUUGAUGGAUGUGCUUUAUUGGACUUCUUUUGGACUGUUGAACGAAAACACCUGCCCACUGCCAUUAUAAAGCUUGGAAGAGCCAGGACUUUUUUUUUAAUGUAACUCUGAUUGGAUUCGUCUGAAAGAAACAAGUCAUAUACACCUAGGAUGCCUUGAGGGUGAGUAAAUCAUGGGCUAAAUUGAAGGCUUCUCUUUUAAGGCUGUUUAAACCAAACGUGGCAGAGCGAAUGUUCUUUCACUCCAUUUGUUCUAUUAACAGACUCAAGCAUGUGGACUGUGUUAGAAAUCAAACGCGCAUCUGUAUACUGUAUCCAGUGUAGACGAUGUCGGCAGAGAUUGUAAUUUCUGUUUGCUUUUGAUGCAACGUGACAUUUCCAUUCAGUGUGAUCAAGUGUCAGCCGUUAAGCGAGUGAACGCCAGUGGGCGGGGCCUAUGGUGAGAAGAAGACUAUUCAUCAUUGUCUUGCUCUGGGGGCAGUGUUUAUGCAAACGACUACGUCUAGGUGACGUCACUUUGUACCUCGAAUCCAAAACAAGCCGUUUUUGGAGCUAAAUUAAAUGCUUUGUUUAUAAUGAGGAGGGCAUUUUAAGCUAAGUAACGUUUGCAAGAGGUUUUAAUGGUACAAAGACCUCUUACAUGCUAAAAGAUCAAGGCAAAUUUGAUUUCUCAUGUCAUGAUGCCUUUAAAAAAAACGAUCCAGCUGGCGCCGAUAGCAUAGGCAGCAUGUCAACAUAUAUUGCAACUGCGCCUCCAGCAACACGAGAUUGAUUCCCUGCUUGAGGUCCUUUGCCGAUCCUAUUGCCCUCUCUCAGCCCCACGCUCUCCAGUCCAGUAAAAGCAUAUUAUUCAUUUCACUUUCAAGGAGGCAUAUUUUACCUGGUCAAGAAACAUCACAGGUUCUAAACUGACAAAGCUCAAAACUUCCUGUCCAAAUAGGAUCAACGCAAGCAGUCUCGCAUCAUCUAUCCAUAUAUAUAUAUAUAUAUAUAUAAGGACAGAUGUCGCAAAUGGUGACUCAAAAGCUCCUUUGACUUUUUAAAGCAGUUUCAGUAUGACUUUGACUCCACUUUCUUUCCCGAGGUGAGCUGCUAAUCUAUGCAGGUGAUGUCACAGUGUGGGGAAGACUUUCAUUUAAUGCUGAAUCAGAGGAGACAGCGAGGGAAACCUCUUCAUGUUUGCCUGGUCUAAAUGUGGACAUCCUCCCCGGCAAGCGAGCGGCUGAUUCAUACUGCUGUUUAAACGCAGUGCUCCAGCAAAUAUUACGCCACUGAAAGUGGGCUGCGGUGUAUUUUUGAACACUCAUCACGAACACUCAUCACGAAUGCUCGCGUGAAUACACAUUUAAAGUCCAUGCUUUCUUUGAGCACGUUACCAGAUUCUCAUGGGGGCGCUGCAUCUGUUGAGAGAAAAACUGAUCCAUAUUUGCUUCCAGCAACAGUUCAAAAACAAAGAGUGGAAUUUCUCCUCGUUAAAAUUUCAGGCCUGUAUACAAACAAAAUGACAAGAGUGCCAUUGGCCCCUAAAAGGAAAUAUGUUUAGGAGCCAAAUAACUCCUUUUUCAAACUUUUUUUUUUUUUAGUUGUCAGAUUAUAGACUCACUUUAUAAAGAUGGCCGUUCAGAAAUGUCUGUACAUUAAUUUACUUGAUACAGACACUAGCGUGCUGCACUAGUUGUAUUUAAUAUCAAAUUCUGUGACUGACUUUACUUAUGUAAUGUACUAUAUACUAUUGUAGUAUUUACUAUUCCUUUGAUUUUAAAUAAUUUAUAAUCAUUUGAUUUUUGAAGUUUUAGUCAUUUUUAAACAUGCCAGACAGAUUUAAAUCUCACAAAGAUUUAGAACAUAUCACAGCAAGUUUCCAGUUCAUUUCUAAUCAACGUAACUAGUUAAUUGUGAACUACCGAAUUAUUCAGAGUCCGAUUUAAAUGUUAACUAGCAAACAAGAUUACGGACUGUUUCAUGAAUCUUUUUGACGGACUCAAAAAAAAAAGGAAAAAAAAAAAAGCAGCAGUUCAUUUUCACUUUCCUGUUCAUCAGGGCCAUUAGAUUUUAAAUCAUUUUCAUUUAUAUUUCUUAAUGCAUUCGCA
Onychostoma macrolepis is the source of this 2649-nucleotide long non-coding RNA. RefSeq lists it as uncharacterized. The record is from RefSeq and is a predicted model, not a curated record. Lineage: Eukaryota; Metazoa; Chordata; Actinopteri; Cypriniformes; Cyprinidae. The transcript is spliced from 4 exons.